AGAUUGAUCCUGGCUAGGGACGAACGCUGGCGGCGUGCCUAACACAUGCAAGUCGAACGGGGAUCUUGUUUCGGCAGGAUCCUAGUGGCGAACGGGUGAGUAACGCGUAGGCAACCUGCCCCCCGGCCGGGGACAACACGCCGAAAGGUGUGCUAAUACCGGAUACGAAGUGAGUACCGCAUGGUGCUCAUUUGAAAGAUGGCCUCUGUUUACAAGCUAUCGCCGGGGGAUGGGCCUGCGUCCGAUUAGCUGGUUGGCGGGGUAAGGGCCCACCAAGGCAUCGAUCGGUAGCCGGUCUGAGAGGAUGAACGGCCACAUUGGGACUGAGACACGGCCCAGACUCCUACGGGAGGCAGCAGUGGGGAAUCUUCCGCAAUGGGCGCAAGCCUGACGGAGCAACGCCGCGUGGGUGAGGAAGUUUUUCGGAACGUAAAGCCCUGUUGUUUGCGACGAACGGGCUUUCUGUGAAUAAUGGGAAGUAGUGACGGUAGCAGACGAGGAAGCCACGGCUAACUACGUGCCAGCAGCCGCGGUAAUACGUAGGUGGCAAGCGUUGUCCGGAAUUAUUGGGCGUAAAGCGCAUGUAGGCGGUGAUGUAAGUCUGUCGUGAAACUGCGGGGGCUCAGCCCCGUAUGGCGAUGGAAACUGUGUUACUUGAGUGCAGGAGAGGGAAGGGGAACUCCCAGUGUAGCGGUGAAAUGCGUAGAUAUUGGGAAGAACACCGGUGGCGAAAGGCGCCCUUUUUCUUGGGACUGGUUGUUCU
Molecule: ribosomal RNA, 763 nt
Filed under: uncultured rumen bacterium
Lineage: Bacteria
Description: bacterial SSU rRNA
Rfam family: Bacterial small subunit ribosomal RNA
Source: RNAcentral